GAUGAACGCUAGCUACAGGCUUAACACAUGCGAGUCGAGGGGAAACGACAUCGAAAGCUUGCUUUUGGUGGGCGUCGACCGGCGCACGGGUGAGUAACGCGUAUCCAACCUGCCCACCACUUGGGGAUAACCUUGCGAAAGUAAGACUAAUACCCAAUGAUAUCCCACGAAGGCAUCCGAAUGGGAUUAAAGAUUUAUCGGUGAUGGAUGGGGAUGCGUCUGAUUAGCUUGUUGGCGGGGUAACGGCCCACCAAGGCUACGAUCAGUAGGGGUUCUGAGAGGAAGGUCCCCCACAUUGGAACUGAGACACGGUCCAAACUCCUACGGGAGGCAGCAGUGAGGAAUAUUGGUCAAUGGGCGAGAGCCUGAACCAGCCAAGUAGCGUGCAGGAUGACGGCCCUAUGGGUUGUAAACUGCUUUUUCAGGGGGGAUAAAGUGAGUGACGUGUCAUUCAUUGCAGGUACCCUGCGAAUAAGGACCGGCUAAUUCCGUG
RNAcentral lists this ribosomal RNA (493 nucleotides) under uncultured bacterium. Its description in RNAcentral is "bacterial SSU rRNA". It matches the Rfam family "Bacterial small subunit ribosomal RNA", at positions 28 to 507 of the family's 1533-position model. The record is from RNAcentral.